GUUUGCUUCCGACUAGUCCAGACGAAGGGCCGCGUCUCGGUAGCGCUCUGCCAGGGUGGAAGGUGCCGGGGCCGGGGUUCCUAGCAACACCUCUGGGCUGGGGGUGGCUGCAAAGUCAGGCACUCACAGACCCAGACACAAAACCUCGCGGGUCCCGCGCCCAGGCUGCGGGUGCCCGGAACCGCCGCGAGGCCGGCGCGCUCCGA
RNAcentral lists this long non-coding RNA (206 nucleotides) under Homo sapiens (human). Its description in RNAcentral is "HSALNT0326547". The record is from RNAcentral. Lineage: Eukaryota; Metazoa; Chordata; Mammalia; Primates; Hominidae.